RNAcentral lists this transfer RNA (112 nucleotides) under Candidatus Woesearchaeota archaeon. Its description in RNAcentral is "tRNA-Leu". The stretch from base 1 to 62 matches the Rfam family "tRNA". Rfam says of the family: Transfer RNA (tRNA) molecules are approximately 80 nucleotides in length. Their secondary structure includes four short double-helical elements and three loops (D, anti-codon, and T loops). The record is from RNAcentral. Lineage: Archaea; Nanobdellati; Candidatus Woesearchaeota.
GCGGAGGUGCCGGAGUGGCCAAACGGGUCAGGCUUAGGACCUGAUGGCUUAGUGCCUACGCAGGUUCGAAUCAAGCUUUUUGAAAAGUUUGUCGAAAGUCCUGCCCUCCGCA